UGGCUCUGGCAUCGAUGAAGAACGCAGCGAAAUGCGAUAAGUAAUGUGAAUUGCAGAAUUCAGUGAACCAUCGAAUCUUUGAACGCACAUUGCGCCCGCCAGCACCCUGGCGGGCAUGCCUGUCCGAGCGUCAUUCUCACCCCUCGGGCCCCCCUCCGGGGCCCGGUGUUGGGGGCCGGCCCAGGCCGCCCCCGAAACGCAGUGGCGACCCCAGCCGCGGCCCCCCGUGCGCAGUAGAACGCUAAGGAAAGCUCGCACCGGGGCGCGGACGGCGGUCACGCCGUGAAACGCCCGCCCCAGGCACCCCUGGAGUUGACCUCGGAUCAGGUAGGGAUACCCGCUGA
RNAcentral lists this unclassified non-coding RNA (344 nucleotides) under uncultured fungus. Its description in RNAcentral is "partial contains 5.8S ribosomal RNA and internal transcribed spacer 2". The stretch from base 1 to 133 matches the Rfam family "5.8S ribosomal RNA", at positions 22 to 154 of the family's 154-position model. Lineage: Eukaryota; Fungi. The record is from RNAcentral.